ACGGGAGGCAGCAGUCGGGAAUAUUGCGCAAUGGAGGAAACUCUGACGCAGUGACGCCGCGUAUAGGAAGAAGGUUUUCGGAUUGUAAACUAUUUUAGACAGGGAAGAAAUUGACAGUACCUGUAGAAUAAGCUCCGGCUAACUACGUGCCAGCAGCCGCGGUAAUACGUAGGGAGCAAGCGUUAUCCGGAUUUAUUGGGUGUAAAGGGUGCGUAGACGGGAAAGCAAGUUAGUUGUGAAAGCCCUCGGCUUAACUGAGGAACUGCAACUAAAACUACUAUUCUUGAGUGCGGGAGAGGAAAGCGGAAUUCCUAGUGUAGCGGUGAAAUGCGUAGAUAUUAGGAGGAACACCAGUGGCGAAGGCGGCUUUCUGGACCGUAACUGACGUUGAGGCACGAAAGUGUGGGGAGCAAACAGGAUUAGAUACCCUGGUA
This 434-nucleotide ribosomal RNA is filed under the name uncultured Oscillospiraceae bacterium. RNAcentral describes it as "partial 16S ribosomal RNA". It matches the Rfam family "Bacterial small subunit ribosomal RNA", at positions 341 to 792 of the family's 1533-position model. The record is from RNAcentral. Lineage: Bacteria; Bacillati; Bacillota; Clostridia; Eubacteriales; Oscillospiraceae.